CAGCGCGCCCGGACGCGCGGGCCGGGGAGGCGGGGAGCCCCCCACUCCCAGGCCGGAGAAAACCCAAGUAGCUAGGUGGGCGGCAACAAACCGCAACUCCCGACAUUGCCAGGCAACAGCCAUUCAGUUCGGUUGCUGGGACACGCGUCACCAUGGCGACGGCUCCGCGCCGCGCAGUCUGAGUAUUUAAAGAGCAAGCGCGCGCAACGCCCGGGCGUCGGAAAGCGGCCUUCCGGGACUCCGCGAACUCCACUCUCCCUACCCCCUCCCCUUUACCAUUCCCUUCGCCUUCCGGGCGCCAAGUCUCUCUGGGCUCCAAGGUGAACCCAGCUCCCCAGCGCGCCCCGUGUUCCCGGGUCGGGCCGGCUUCAGGCGAUGGGGAGCGGGAUCCCGGGCCCCGGGCGGGCGGGAGGGACGGGACGCGGUGCAGUGUUGUUCUUUCCCCUGCCAAUAUUGCACUCGUCCCGGCCUCCGGCCCCCCCGGCCCCCCGGCCUCCACCUGCCCCCAGCGGAGCAGCCCCCGCCCUCCUGGCUCCCCAUCCCGGCGGAUCUCUGAUAGACUGGAGUGUUGCGGCUGCCACCGUGCUUGUGUCUGCAGUGAGAAGGGAGAUGGAGAGAAGCGGCUGCAGUCCCCACCCAUGGAGAGGCCACUGAGUUCCUCAGUGAUAUUCCUCUCUUGGAUCGCUUUGUUGUUUUCUGGGAUGGCUGUACUGGAGAUUGUGGAGUCAGGUCGAAGAUUUGGAAUAACAGAGUUAGAAACCCCCAGGAAGAACUCAGAGGCUCCUCCCAGCUCACCUGCAUCCUCAAGUAAGCCUUCUGUCCAGUCCUAAUCUCCAGCCCGUCGACCUCUGCUGGAGGAAUGGGGGCCAGUGCUGGAAGGCCUGCAUGUUGGUCACCCAGUUUGCAGUCCACAUAGAGAUGUAGGGCAGGGCUGGGUCUGGAGGGGCCUCGGAGUCGCAGGAGAACUGUGUGUGUGCGCCCAUCGGCCAGGCCUGCUUGCUGUAGGUUCACGGCGUGGACUUUGCCAUCCUCCCGCUGGUACCGCACCAGUACUGCCCAGGAGGGGAGAUCAGUAUGGGCACUGUCCCCUCAUCCCCUGCCUCCCAGUUGAGACUUGGAUCAACUCUGCUGGAUACAUCUCUAGGGCUCCCAUCCCUAAUUCUACUAUGUAGCUCUCAGCACCUUGUAUGUAAUAGGUACACAAUAAAUGUUUUUCAAAUUGGUUU
This is a long non-coding RNA of Sapajus apella (tufted capuchin), 1226 nucleotides long. RefSeq lists it as uncharacterized. The transcript is spliced from 4 exons. Lineage: Eukaryota; Metazoa; Chordata; Mammalia; Primates; Cebidae. The record is from RefSeq and is a predicted model, not a curated record.